RNAcentral lists this ribosomal RNA (497 nucleotides) under uncultured bacterium. RNAcentral describes it as "partial 16S ribosomal RNA". It matches the Rfam family "Bacterial small subunit ribosomal RNA", at positions 28 to 507 of the family's 1533-position model. The record is from RNAcentral.
GAUGAACGCUGGCGGCGUGCCUAAUACAUGCAAGUCGAGCGAACAGACGAGGAUCUUGCUCCUCUGACGUUAGCGGCGGACGGGUGAGUAACACGUGGAUAACCUACCUAUAAGACUGGGAUAACUUCGGGAAACCGGCUCUAAUACCGGAUAAUAUAUUGAACCGCAUGGUUCAAUAGUGAAAGACGGUUUUGCUGUCACUUAUAGAUGGAUCCGCGCCGCAUUAGCUAGUUGUUAAGGUAACGGCUUACCAAGGCAACGAUGCGUAGCCGAACUGAGAGGGUGAUAGGCCACACUGGAACUGAGACACGGUCCAGACUCCUACGGGAGGCAGCAGUAGGGAAUGUUCCGCAAUGGGCGAAAGCCUGACGGAGCAACGCCGCGUGAGUGAUGAAGGUCUUCGGAUCGUAAAACUCUGUUAUUAGGGAAGAACAAAUGUGUAAGUAACUAUGCACGUCUUGACGGUACCUAAUCAGAAAGCCACGGCUAACUACGUG